Long non-coding RNA from Siniperca chuatsi (mandarin fish), 2723 nucleotides. RefSeq lists it as uncharacterized. The record is from RefSeq and is a predicted model, not a curated record. Lineage: Eukaryota; Metazoa; Chordata; Actinopteri; Centrarchiformes; Sinipercidae. The transcript has 5 exons.
UACCAUAAAAUCACGAGCACACUCGGCAAAGUCAGUCAUAAAACAGCCAUAAAACCUGAAGAAGAAGAAGAAGAAGAAAAAGAGGAAGAAGAAGAAAAAGAAGAAAACAACAACAACAACAACAACAACAACGCCUUCACCUGGGUGAAGGUGGGAGGGGUGGAGAUGGAAAGGCGACGACGUCAAGCUGCAGGCAGUCUAAACAAGUGAACACAGGGAUACAGGAACAAGAAGCUCUCCUUGGACCCUGGGAAGUAUGGAUGUCUCCUGCCAUUUGUUGCCUAUUCUGCCAUCUUUCCGUUGCUCAAGCUAACCAAUCUCCCUGUGGGUAACCUUCCACCAACUUGCACGAGUCACCCCUGGGGAGGCUGCAGGGCCUGGGUCAGCCAUAUGGUGGCAGAAGCCCCUGGAGGAGCCAGCCCGAUAAGCUGGAUCAGCUUCAGCACUUCCUGACCGAGGCUUGGGCCGCACCACCAAGCAGGCUUUGAACAAAGAGCGUGAAAACCUCCCGUGUGCUAGAGAGUAGCGGGGCACUGUGCAUCAAAAUAUCAGUGCAGGUUGAAAGGCACAAAAUAAGGUUGUAAUUUCAGACAUGCCAAAUUACUUGACAUAGUGUUUUAUACUUCUAUACUUCCAUGUGCCUUUUGGGAUUUAACUUGCUUUGGCAAAGAGGGAGAGCGUCUACAGCAUUUCCCCAAGGAUAUGCAUGCAGAGGGCAGAAAACAUCAAUCAGACAUCUGCUACCUUACACUUUGGAUCUUUGCUGAUAUGACUUGUCUUGUCAAAUGUUUUGAAUCGUUCGAGGUGAACUGAACAAAACGAAGCAUUCUCUAGAAAAGAAUAGCUCAUUUUGGAUCAAAUAUUUUGACAUUGUCAGUGUUUAAAGAUGCAUUUAUGAAGAAAAGGAUUGUAUGUGACAAAUUGUAUGAACUUCAAUUCUGAUUUAAGUCCAUUAUGCUAAACUAAGGCUGCAGAAUGAGAGCUGUCUCCCCUGCAAUAAAAAGAGUUAAGCUUGUAAACUAGUGGGAGUACGAUCUUCGGAAACAUCUGUACAGAUGUGUCCGCUCCCAGAAACAACAACGUGUCUUGUGUUGGUAGUCCGAGGAAAUCACUAUCUUGUUUAAGCAAAAUAGGCACAGUUGUUAACAAUAGAUGUUAACAUCUUGCAAAAGUUUGUUCUGAGGGUUUGAAAAAAAAAUACAGUUUCAACUUGACAGUGUCAUUACUUUGUUCAAGGUUCCUAAAGGAAUACUGGCAUGGUGAAGGUUUUGCUUAAGUUCUGCCAGUGUAGCAAUCUGCUAAAUUAAAAGUUUAAGUUCACUCUUGUAAAAUCACCGUUGAGUAAAAGUAAACUUUGUUACAAAAAAAACAAAUAAAAGAUGAGUCAGCAACACACAUUUACUGUAGGGAUGAGCUGUUGAUGUAUGUACAGACAGUUGCAGGCUAUGGGUGGAGGCUGAGGAACAUGAUGACGUUUGAAUUUGGUGAUAUUCACUUACCUUACCCAUUCCUUAUUUCUGUCACUCUUCAGUUCCUUCCUUCCCUUAUUUAAUCCACCUAAUGUAAGUGAUGUCUUCCUCAAUAAUCAAGAACAAUAAUGUUUGGUUUUAGCAAUGCAGCUAGUUAGCAAUGCUAAUGAUCUAGCCAGACAUUGAUCAGGGAAACACAAACCAUAAAUACUGCCAAAUGAAUGGUGUUUGGUGGAAUGUUAACAUAGCUAAUAUAAUUUUAAAAUGUGACCUUAAAUAUUAGAGUUACUUAAGCUUAUCUCCAGAUAAUGGCACAGGUUAGAUGCCUGUUCCAUUUACAGUUUGUCAGUUUCAGCGCAGUGUUUUCAGCAGGUUGUGUAAAAAAAACAUGUGAAACCAGCACACAAUCUCUGAUACACAGAUAACAUGUUGUGGACGCGAGUUAUGUGAACAGUAUUCUUCCAAAUUGGAUAUAAUUAACUGACAUCAAUCCAAACUGAAAACAGUUUAGGAAACUGAUAUUUGGUGAUUAAUGUAAAGCUUGGUUAUGCAUGGUUAUUCUUUUAAAGCUUGUAAAAUUUUAUUUCUCAAUGUCCAUAAAGAGGGUAAACAUUAGCAUUUUCAGGCAUCACACUAAUUUCACAAGAAAAGUUGGUUCACAUAUCAAUUAUGUAUGUCAUGCUACAUUAAAGAACUCGAGUUCAGAAAGUUUACGAGUUGAAACAAAUCAAUAUUUCAAAUUACUGUAUGCUGUAGGUAUGCUGUGUAUGUCAUAUUGAGUCAACAUGCAUGCAUACACAAGACGAAGACAGCUACUUACUUACUGUCUGGUUACACUCAAAUCAAUCACAGAUGUAACAAAUUCACACAAAUUUUCAACGGCAAGACAUUAAGGGUUACAGAGUAAGCAUAUUCAGGGGAAUGUUUGCUUGAUUGAGAGGCCUCUCAGGCUUUCAUACUCUCCUGUGGUAGCUGCUUGCUCAUCCUCAGCUCCAACCAGGCUCCUCGCACGUAUGUUUUUUAUGCGCUCCAAGCAACUGAUGAGAAGGCGAUUAACAGUAAACCCAACUCCAGCUUCAAUAAGUCCCAUCAGAAAAUGUCAGAGGUGCUACAUCUGCAUUUUUCUAGUCUGUCUAAAUGUGGGCCGUGAACCUGGCAACCCAAAAGCAUUUCAAUUUAAGCAUUAUAGUUGUUAGACUUGUUGAUGACCAGCAAAGCAUCAUUAAGUAUAUAGUUAUUAACUAAAUGACUGAC